This 395-nucleotide ribosomal RNA is filed under the name uncultured bacterium. Its description in RNAcentral is "bacterial SSU rRNA". It matches the Rfam family "Bacterial small subunit ribosomal RNA", at positions 29 to 430 of the family's 1533-position model. The record is from RNAcentral.
AUUGAACGCUGGCGGCAUGCCUUACACAUGCAAGUCGAACGGCAGCACGGGAGCAAUCCUGGUGGCGAGUGGCGAACGGGUGAGUAAUACAUCGGAACGUGCCCAAUAGUGGGGGAUAGCCCGGCGAAAGCCGGAUUAAUACCGCAUACGACCUACGGGUGAAAGCGGGGGAUCGCAAGACCUCGCGCUACUGGAGCGGCCGAUGUCGGAUUAGCUAGUUGGUGGGGAAAGGCCUACCAAGGCUACGACCCGUAGCUGGUCUGAGAGGACGACCAGCCACACUGGGACUGAGACACGGCCCAGACUCCUACGGGAGGCAGCAGUGGGGAAUUUUGGACAAUGGGCGCAAGCCUGAUCCAGCCAUGCCGCGUGCGGGAAGAAGGCCUGGUGUAACG